GUGUUCACUUCAGCAGCACACAUACUAAAAUUGGAACGACACAGAGAAGAUUAGCACGGGCCCUGUGCAAGGAUGGCAUGCAAAUUCGUGAAGCUUCCAGAAAAAGA
This 107-nucleotide small nuclear RNA is filed under the name Panthera leo (lion). Lineage: Eukaryota; Metazoa; Chordata; Mammalia; Carnivora; Felidae. The record is from RNAcentral.